RNAcentral lists this ribosomal RNA (303 nucleotides) under uncultured Anoxybacillus sp. RNAcentral's name for it is "bacterial SSU rRNA". It matches the Rfam family "Bacterial small subunit ribosomal RNA", at positions 1080 to 1382 of the family's 1533-position model. The record is from RNAcentral. Lineage: Bacteria; Bacillati; Bacillota; Bacilli; Caryophanales; Anoxybacillaceae.
UUAAGUCCCGCAACGAGCGCAACCCUCGACCUUAGUUGCCAGCAUUCAUUGGGGCACUCUAAGGUGACUGCCGGCUAAAAAGUCGGAGGAAGGUGGGGAUGACGUCAAAUCAUCAUGCCCCUUAUGACCUGGGCUACACACGUGCUACAAUGGGCGGUACAAAGGGUCGCGAACCCGCGAGGGGGAGCCAAUCCCAAAAAGCCGCUCUCAGUUCGGAUUGCAGGCUGCAACUCGCCUGCAUGAAGCCCGGAAUCGCUAGUAAUCGCGGAUCAGCAUGCCCGCGGUCGAAUACGUCCGGGCCUU